Molecule: long non-coding RNA, 831 nt
Organism: Oncorhynchus keta (chum salmon)
Lineage: Eukaryota; Metazoa; Chordata; Actinopteri; Salmoniformes; Salmonidae
Exons: 5
Source: RefSeq, a predicted model, not a curated record
CUCAGGUAACUAUGGAGGACAGGACCCCUAUUUCCUCAGGUAACGAUGGAGACGGGACCCCUAUUCCCUCAGGUAACGAUGGAGGACGGGACCCCUAUUCCCUCAGGUAACUAUGGAGACGGGACCCCUAUUCCCUCAGGUAACGAUGGAGGACGGGACCCCUAUUCCCUCAGGUAACUAUGGAGGACGGGACCCCUAUUCCCUCAGGUAACGAUGGAGGACGGGACCCCUAUUCCCUCAGGUAACUAUGGAGGACGGGACCCCUAUUCCCUCAGGUAACUAUGGAGACGGGACCCCUAUUCCCUCAGGUAACGAUGGAGACGGGACCCCUAUUCCCUCAGGUAACUAUGGAGACGGGACCCCUAUUCCCUCAGGUAACUAUGGAGGACGGGACCCCUAUUCCCUCAGGUAACGAUGGAGAACACUUCACUGUACACGCCAGGGGUUGAGCUGAAUGUUUUAAAAUGACCAAGACUAUCCACCCCACCAAGAUAUUCACCUCACCAGAAACCUCUUCCUGCUCAUGUGGUUAAGGCUGGUCACCUGUGUGGGGACCGAGCCAGCACUCCUUGGUUGUUGUUUAACUUGUAUGUAUGAAGGAGAAUGUGUUAUUUCCACCACCAGGUGGCCUCAGAGUACUAGAAAUACAUUCACACUAACGUCUCACUGUGUUUUUAAAAGCUGCUGGAAUGCCCAGCUGAGGAUCUGCUGACAGCCUCAAUCUAAGAUUCUCUGACUUGGCUGUCAGCUUUCUUCCUAUUUGAGACGAGUGAUUGGAGAGAGGUGAUUGGCUAGGGAUGACCUAAUAACCUCCUGUGUUUUCUCCUCUGA